RNAcentral lists this ribosomal RNA (720 nucleotides) under uncultured bacterium. RNAcentral's name for it is "bacterial SSU rRNA". It matches the Rfam family "Bacterial small subunit ribosomal RNA", at positions 8 to 702 of the family's 1533-position model. The record is from RNAcentral.
AGAGUUUGAUCCUGGCUCAGAAUGAACGCUGGCGGCAGGCCUAACACAUGCAAGUCGGACGGAAACGACAAGAACAAUCACUUCGGUGUGCGUUUUUGGGCGUCGAGUGGCGGACGGGUGAGUAACGCGUGGGAAUCUACCCUUUAGUUGGGGACAACAUAUGGAAACGUAUGCUAAUACCGAAUAUGCUCUACGGAGUAAAGGUGCCCUCUCCUUGGAAGGUAUCGCUAAAGGAUGAGCCCGCGUUAGAUUAGCUAGUUGGUAAGGUAAAGGCUUACCAAGGCGACGAUCUAUAGCUGGUUUGAGAGGAUGAUCAGCCACACUGGGACUGAGACACGGCCCAGACUCCUACGGGAGGCAGCAGUGGGGAAUAUUGCACAAUGAGGGAAACCUUGAUGCAGCCAUGCCGCGUGUGUGAAGAAGGCCCGAGGGUUGUAAAGCACUUUCAAUUGUGAGGAAGAUUAAGUAGCUAAUACCUGCUUAGUUUGGCGUUAACUUUAGAAGAAGCACCGGCUAACUCUGUGCCAGCAGCCGCGGUAAUACAGAGGGUGCAAGCGUUAUUCGGAAUUACUGGGCGUAAAGCGCGCGUAGGCGGACUGUUAAGUCGGUUGUGAAAGCCCUGGGGCUCAACCUAGGAACUGCAUCCGAUACUGGCAAUCUAGAGUUUAAGAGAGGGAAGUGGAAUCCCAGGUGUAGCAGUGAAAUGCGUAGAUAUCUGGA